RNAcentral lists this ribosomal RNA (466 nucleotides) under uncultured bacterium. RNAcentral's name for it is "partial 16S ribosomal RNA". It matches the Rfam family "Bacterial small subunit ribosomal RNA", at positions 28 to 507 of the family's 1533-position model. The record is from RNAcentral.
GAUGAACGCUGGCGGCGUGCUUAACACAUGCAAGUCGAACGAUGAAGCCCAGCUUGCUGGGUGGAUUAGUGGCGAACGGGUGAGUAACACGUGAGUAACCUGCCCUUAACUCUGGGAUAAGCCUGGGAAACUGGGUCUGAUACCGGAUAGGAGCGUCCACCGCAUGGUGGGUGUUGGAAAGAUUUAUCGGUUUUGGAUGGACUCGCGGCCUAUCAGCUUGUUGGUGAGGUAAUGGCUCACCAAGGCGACGACGGGUAGCCGGCCUGAGAGGGUGACCGGCCACACUGGGACUGAGACACGGCCCAGACUCCUACGGGAGGCAGCAGUGGGGAAUAUUGCACAAUGGGCGCAAGCCUGAUGCAGCGACGCCGCGUGAGGGAUGACGGCCUUCGGGUUGUAAACCUCUUUCAGUAGGGAAGAAGCGAAAGUGACGGUACCUGCAGAAGAAGCACCGGCUAACUACGUG